RNAcentral lists this ribosomal RNA (187 nucleotides) under uncultured rumen bacterium. RNAcentral's name for it is "partial 16S ribosomal RNA". It matches the Rfam family "Bacterial small subunit ribosomal RNA", at positions 340 to 524 of the family's 1533-position model. The record is from RNAcentral.
UACGGGAGGCAGCAGUGAGGAAUAUUGGUCAAUGGGCGAGAGCCUGAACCAGCCAAGUAGCGUGCAGGACGACGGCCCUAUGGGUUGUAAACUGCUUUUAUGCGGGGAUAAAGUUGGCUACGUGUAGCCAUUUGCAGGUACCGCAUGAAUAAGGACCGGCUAAUUCCGUGCCAGCAGCCGCGGUAAU